GACGAACGCUGGCGGCGUGCUUAACACAUGCAAGUCGAACGGAAAGGCCCUGCUUUUGUGGGGUGCUCGAGUGGCGAACGGGUGAGUAACACGUGAGUAACCUGCCCUUGACUUUGGGAUAACUUCAGGAAACUGGGGCUAAUACCGGCUAGGAGCUCCUGCUGCAUGGUGGGGGUUGGAAAGUUUCGGCGGUUGGGGAUGGACGCGCGGCUUAUCAGCUUGUUGGUGGGGUAGUGGCUUACCAAGGCUUUGGCGGGUAGCCGGCCUGAGAGGGUGACCGGCCACAUUGGGACUGCGAUACGGCCCAGACUCCUACGGGAGGCAGCAGUGGGGAAUAUUGCACAAUGGGCGGAAGCCUGAUGCAGCAACGCCGCGUGUGGGAUGACGGCCUUCGGGUUGUAAACCGCUUUCGCCUGUGACGAAGCGUGAGUGACGGUAAUGGGUAAAGAAGCACCGGCUAACUACGUG
This 468-nucleotide ribosomal RNA is filed under the name uncultured bacterium. Its description in RNAcentral is "partial 16S ribosomal RNA". It matches the Rfam family "Bacterial small subunit ribosomal RNA", at positions 28 to 507 of the family's 1533-position model. The record is from RNAcentral.